Molecule: transfer RNA, 82 nt
Filed under: Sphingomonadales bacterium RIFCSPHIGHO2_01_FULL_65_20
Lineage: Bacteria; Pseudomonadati; Pseudomonadota; Alphaproteobacteria; Sphingomonadales
Description: tRNA-Val
Source: RNAcentral
CGGCGGAUUACCGCCAGUUGCGCCAAGGUCCGCUGCCUUGACAUCGCAGGGGUCGGAAGUUCAAUCCUUCCUACGCCCACCA